Molecule: long non-coding RNA, 426 nt
Organism: Diuraphis noxia (Russian wheat aphid)
Lineage: Eukaryota; Metazoa; Arthropoda; Insecta; Hemiptera; Aphididae
Source: RefSeq, a predicted model, not a curated record
UUGAUAGUUGAAAAAGUACAUAUAGGGUUAUACAGUUUAGCCAGUCAGACUGGUUAGCGAAAUAUAUUAAUUUGAAUACAGAGAUGAGGAAAAGAGCGAAAAACGACUUUGAGAAAGACUUCUUCAAACUCAUGAACAACGCUGUAUUUGUUAAAACAAUGCAGUCAAAACGCAAGGAAAUGAAAAUGGAGUUAGUAUUGUGUGAGAGACGACUGUAGAAGUUGAUAAAUAAAAAUACAUUCCAGCAUUGUACUAAUUACAACGAGAAUCUGAACGCUGUUGCUCUAGAAAAUAAGAUUAUCAAAUUCCAUAAACCUAUAUAUAUUGGGUUCGCUGUUCUGGACAUAUCCAAAACCAAAAUGUAUGACUAUCAUUACAACRUUAUGAAGAAACAUUAUAAAGAUAAAAUUAAGCUAAUGUAUACUG